RNAcentral lists this ribosomal RNA (446 nucleotides) under uncultured bacterium. RNAcentral's name for it is "bacterial SSU rRNA". It matches the Rfam family "Bacterial small subunit ribosomal RNA", at positions 329 to 792 of the family's 1533-position model. The record is from RNAcentral.
UGCCAGACUCCUACGGGAGGCAGCAGUAGGGAAUCUUUCACAAUGGGCGAAAGCCUGAUGGAGCAACGCCGCGUGCAGGAUGAAGGCCUUCGGGUUGUAAACUGCUUUUAUAAGCGAGAAAUAUGAUGGUAACUUAUGAAUAAGGAUCGGCUAACUACGUGCCAGCAGCCGCGGUAAUACGUAGGGGGCAAGCGUUAUCCGGAUUUACUGGGUGUAAAGGGAGCGUAGACGGCAGCGCAAGUCUGAAGUGAAAUGCCGGGGCUUAACCCCGGAACUGCUUUGGAAACUGUGCAGCUAGAGUGCAGGAGAGGUAAGUGGAAUUCCUAGUGUAGCGGUGAAAUGCGUAGAUAUUAGGAGGAACACCAGUGGCGAAGGCGGCUUACUGGACUGUAACUGACGUUGAGGCUCGAAAGCGUGGGGAGCAAACAGGAUUAGAUACCCCUGUA